This 86-nucleotide transfer RNA is filed under the name Pseudomonadota bacterium. RNAcentral describes it as "tRNA-Leu". It matches the Rfam family "tRNA". Rfam says of the family: Transfer RNA (tRNA) molecules are approximately 80 nucleotides in length. Their secondary structure includes four short double-helical elements and three loops (D, anti-codon, and T loops). RNAcentral also lists the same sequence under 2 other names. Lineage: Bacteria; Pseudomonadati; Pseudomonadota. The record is from RNAcentral.
GCCCCGGUGGCGAAAUCGGUAGACGCAGCGGACUUAAAAUCCGCCGGCCAAAAGCCAUGCCGGUUCGACUCCGGCCCGGGGCACCA